GGAUUGUCUUGCAGGAUUUUGGUUCUGACUCUAAUCCUUGCAUCUCUUGGUCUUAGCUGACUAGACAGCCUCACACCUACACUUUGCUGCUGCAGCAGGACAUGCAUGUGAAGGAUCGUAAGCCAGCUAAUAUCAAGGUCUACGAUUACUACAUGCCAGAAGAAUCUACAGUGAUGAGCUACAGUGCCCCAUGCGAAUGAGGAACAUGGACAGACCCAUCCUCUGCAGUCUCUGUCCGUCAGUCCCUUGUCACCCUUGCUAACAGCCACCACAUGGAGACAAGAAGCUAAGAGAAAAUACUUGAAAUUGCCUGUCAAGAAG
Molecule: long non-coding RNA, 321 nt
Filed under: Athene cunicularia (burrowing owl)
Lineage: Eukaryota; Metazoa; Chordata; Aves; Strigiformes; Strigidae
Description: lncRNA (ENSACUG00000002017.1)
Source: RNAcentral